GUUUUUUCUACAUAAAUGUUUUACAUCCAUGUAUUUCUACAUACCCACAGAUGUAUCACUGUGAACGUAAUCAAGCUACCCUUCUGAACCAAUCAGGUUUUAGGAUAUACCGAACGCAGGUACUGAAGUCCUAGCUGGGGUAAACCAAUGUUUAAACCUAAACUGACACAGUCCUGGACAGAGAACACUUACAGUUUGAGGCUGGAGCAUUUGAGACGUUCCACUGCCCUCUAGUGGUCAGAGUGAGACCUAGCGGGAACACCUUCGAAUGGAAGAGCCCACAUCGAAACGGCACACAUUCACCCUUCACAACGACGCUGACGAGCGGAUGUUCUUGGCCCAGCUGUUGUUCAGGGUAAGUGGAAACAGCAUGUGACACAACUUCUACUUUUAAAUGUUACCAUGGAGGCUGACUCCACCUUCAUUAUAUUAGAGUUAACUCACGCCACUGUAACCAGAGUUCAUUAUAUUAUAGUUAACUCACGCCACUGUAACCAGAGUUCUCCCCUGGGCUCAACAGAGAAACAUACACAUCAGUAGCAUUACAAGGUUUGUAUAGUCAUUUUUCAACUUUACAUGACCCAUCAUAUUGUAAUCAUCUGACUGUUUGGAGUUUAUAUGUGGGAUUCUCCAGAGCAGUAGGAGCUGUCUUCUGGGUGACUGUAGCUCAGGUCCAGCUCUCUCAGGUCCAGUUCUCUCAGGUCCAGUUCUCUCAGGUCCAGUUCUCUCAGGUCCAGCUCUCUCAGGUCCAGCUCUCUCAGGUCCAGUUCUCUCAAGUCCACCUCUCUCAGGUCCAGCUCUCUCAGGUGUGAGGGGGUUGACCUCUCGGCAGAAGCCAGAACAGCACAGCCCUUCUCUGUGACCAGAUAGAAUUUCCACAGGCUAACCUUCUUUUCUUCAAUUCAGUCUCUGAAUAUUCUACAGUUGUGCUAAUGGUAUUGCUAUGAUUUCCUUUCUUUAUUUUAACUAUAUUUUCCCCUCCCAGUUUUGUGUAGAACCACAGUGAUAGUAAAGCUAUAGGCCGUUCUUCAUUCUGUUGUGGUCUUAGAAGUGUGUGUGGUGUUAGAUGUGUGUGUGGUGUUAGAUGUGUGUGUGGUCUUAGAAGUGUGUGUGGUGUUAGAUGUGUGUGUGGUGUUAGAUGUGUGUGUGGUGUUAGAUGUGUGUGUGGUGUUAGAUGUGUGUGUG
This is a long non-coding RNA of Esox lucius (northern pike), 1185 nucleotides long. Lineage: Eukaryota; Metazoa; Chordata; Actinopteri; Esociformes; Esocidae. The record is from Ensembl.